AUUAAGCAUGUGUGAACUAAACUAGGCUGCUGUAUAGCGAUAAUAAUAAUUAUUAUUUUGGCUAUCAUCUUUUUUGUGCGAUUUCUAUACUAGAAACUUACGUUUGUAAGUUGCUUGUUAUUAAUUUCACUAUUUAACCCAGAAAAUCUACUUGCUUAUAUUUUAUAUUGUGUAACUAUAGCUAAACAGUAUUUGAUAAGGAGAAAUCUGGAUUUUUGAAAUCUGAAGUGUAUUAAUUUUUUAAAUAUACUUUUAUCAGUCACUUAUAUAGUUCACACCAUAUUUUUUAUUUUAG
Molecule: non-coding RNA, 295 nt
Organism: Cinara cedri
Lineage: Eukaryota; Metazoa; Arthropoda; Insecta; Hemiptera; Aphididae
Source: the annotation of a GenBank genome assembly